UGGGGAAUAUUGCACAAUGGGCGGAAGCCUGAUGCAGCGACGCCGCGUGGGGGAUGAAGGCCUUCGGGUUGUAAACUCCUUUCGACAGGGACGAAGCUUUUGUGACGGUACCUGUAUAAGAAGCACCGGCUAACUACGUGCCAGCAGCCGCGGUAAUACGUAGGGUGCGAGCGUUGUCCGGAAUUACUGGGCGUAAAGAGCUCGUAGGUGGUUUGUCGCGUCGUCUGUGAAAUUCCGGGGCUUAACUCCGGGCGUGCAGGCGAUACGGGCUGACUAGAGUGCUGUAGGGGAGACUGGAAUUCCGGGUGUAGCAGUGAAAUGCGCAGAUAUCAGGAGGAACACCGAUGGCGAAGGCAGGUCUCUGGGCAGUAACUGACGCUGAGGAGCGAAAGCAUGGGUAGCGAACAGG
This 409-nucleotide ribosomal RNA is filed under the name Actinomycetes bacterium. RNAcentral's name for it is "Actinobacteria bacterium partial 16S ribosomal RNA". It matches the Rfam family "Bacterial small subunit ribosomal RNA", at positions 355 to 776 of the family's 1533-position model. Lineage: Bacteria; Bacillati; Actinomycetota; Actinomycetes. The record is from RNAcentral.